Molecule: long non-coding RNA, 381 nt
Filed under: Schistocerca americana (American grasshopper)
Lineage: Eukaryota; Metazoa; Arthropoda; Insecta; Orthoptera; Acrididae
Description: uncharacterized LOC124622548
Source: RNAcentral
GCUACAGCUGCCGCAAAGCGCAGGGGCCACCGCAGCUAUGAAGUCGCACACACUGGCUGUCCUCGUACUGGCGGCGCUCGCAGGCUGUGCCACUUCAGAGGAAUGCCCUACCUUCUGCCCACAAAUUUACCAGCCAGUGGCAGCCCUGUGUGGCUCCGAAAUCAGGGAGUUUGGAAAUCGCUGUGAAUUGGAAGCACACAACUGCCUGCACAACAACGAAUGCAAAGGCUGACGUUGCCAGGAGCGAUACGACGCCAGCAGCACUUGGAUGGCUGAUGCAUCAGUCGAAGAAACGCUUGAUGGACAUUUUUUGAGGUUUUGUGAUUUGCUGGUGGAAACAAAAUUAUUGCAGAAAUUAAAUACGGAAAUGUGGGCGUGUUA